Carcharodon carcharias (great white shark) is the source of this 578-nucleotide long non-coding RNA. RefSeq lists it as uncharacterized. The record is from RefSeq and is a predicted model, not a curated record. Lineage: Eukaryota; Metazoa; Chordata; Chondrichthyes; Lamniformes; Lamnidae. The transcript has 2 exons.
CUUUAAUGCUUAGCCAAUUAAAGGCCAGGAAGUGGGCUCACUGUCCAAUCAGGGAUGGUGGGCACGCUCUCGAAGCUGGAGACCCAAUGGGAGGCCCUCCAGCACUCAGAUCGUCAAUCCCAUUGGCAAAGGUGGAAGCUACCAAUGUGAAGAUGCAGCUAGCGAGGAACGAAGACAGGGCAGGAUCUUCCGGUCGGCGUGCGGGGCCAGGCCAAACACACCAAUGUGUAAAAUGACACGUGAUGACGACAGGUGUGCAUCCCGAUGUCAUCGCGAAAUUUUGUUUGACGCACCUGUGCCGGAGUCAUCUGUGCGCCCACUGAAAUGUUAAGGGCCUAUUAAGGCCAUUAAGGGAUUAAUUAAAGUAUGUAAGAACGCUGCCUGUCCAUCCUUAAGGUUGACAGGCAGGUGAAAAGCCCAAGCGACCUUCACGUUUUUCAGGAAACCUCAUCCACGGGCGGGAUGAAGUUUCCUGAAGCUUUUAUAAAAUAAACUUAAUUAAUUUGUUCCCACUUUUACAAACAUGUCCCAACUUAUGUGACACUGUCACAUGUUUAAAUAAAUUUUUACAUCAUUUA